GGGCGUCCUAUCUCUUGCGAGAAGAGCGCACCUAGAGCGCACACGCUGAUACCCGAAAGAUGGUGAACUAUGCCUGGCCAGGACGAAGCCAGGGGAAACCUUGGUGGAGGUCCGCAGCGAUUCUGACGUGCAAAUCGAUCGUCGGAGCUGGGUUUAGGGGCGAAAGACCAAUCGAACCAUCUAGUAGCUGGUUCCCUCUGAAGUUUCCCUCAGGAUAGCUUGCGCUCGAGCGAAACGAGUCUCAUCCGGUAGAGCGAAUGAUUAGAGGCCUUGGGGUCGAAACGACCUCAACCUAUUCUCAAACUCCAAAUAGAUGAGAACCCCGGCUUUCUUGAACUCUGUUUAUGAAGCCGGGGGCUUGGAUCAGAGUGCCAAGUGGGCCAAUUUU
This 388-nucleotide ribosomal RNA is filed under the name Stenodema sibirica. RNAcentral describes it as "eukaryotic LSU rRNA". It matches the Rfam family "Eukaryotic large subunit ribosomal RNA", at positions 763 to 1138 of the family's 3401-position model. The record is from RNAcentral. Lineage: Eukaryota; Metazoa; Arthropoda; Insecta; Hemiptera; Miridae.